This 301-nucleotide ribosomal RNA is filed under the name uncultured bacterium. Its description in RNAcentral is "partial 16S ribosomal RNA". It matches the Rfam family "Bacterial small subunit ribosomal RNA", at positions 509 to 807 of the family's 1533-position model. The record is from RNAcentral.
CAGCAGCCGCGGGAAUACAGAGGGUGCGAGCGUUAAUCGGAUUUACUGGGCGUAAAGCGUGCGUAGGCGGCUUCUUAAGUCGGAUGUGAAAUCCCUGAGCUUAACUUAGGAAUUGCAUUCGAUACUGGGAAGCUAGAGUAUGGGAGAGGAUGGCAGAAUUCCAGGUGUAGCGGUGAAAUGCGUAGAGAUCUGGAGGAAUACCGAUGGCGAAGGCAGCCAUCUGGCCUAAUACUGACGCUGAGGUACGAAAGCAUGGGGAGCAAACAGGAUUAGAUACCCCCGUAGUCCCUGUCUCUUAUAC